This 267-nucleotide long non-coding RNA is filed under the name Coffea arabica (coffee). RNAcentral describes it as "long non-coding RNA (CARA_LNC000394)". The record is from RNAcentral. Lineage: Eukaryota; Viridiplantae; Streptophyta; Magnoliopsida; Gentianales; Rubiaceae.
GAGGUCGAAGACAAAAUUCUAUACAUGUAGUAAUAGAUUUUGAUACGCUUGAAAUUGAUUGGUGGGCCUUUUAGAAGGAGACAAAACAAGUCAAACUGGGCCAGUAUAUGGUCCGGUGGGUAUCUCUUUAGCAUCAGCAAGGGUGUGUUGUUCGAACCUCUUUGUCAUGGAAAUGCACCCUUCCUUCUCAGCUCACUGGCAGGCCUAUUUUAACUGGAUAGGCCUAACGUAAAUAAGUCAUCUACACAAAUCUGAUUUUUUUUUGGG